CUACGGGCGGCAGCAGCGGGGAAUAUUGCACAAUGGGCGCAAGCCUGAUGCAGCCAUGCCGCGUGUGUGAAGAAGGCCUUCGGGUUGUAAAGCACUUUCAGCGGGGAGGAAGGCGUUAAGGUUAAUAACCUUGUCGAUUGACGUUACCCGCAGAAGAAGCACCGGCUAACCCGUGCCAGCAGCCGCGGUAAUACGGAGGGUGCAAGCGGUAAUCGGAAUUACUGGCGUAAAGCGCACGCAGGCGGUCUGUCAAGUCGGAUGUGAAAUCCCCGCGCUCAACCUGGGAACUGCAUUCGAAACUGGCAGGCUAGAGUCUUGUAGAGGGGGGUAGAAUUCCAGGUGUAGCGGUGAAAUGCGUAGAGAUCUGGAGGAAUACCGGUGGCGAAGGCGGCCCCCUGGACAAAGACUGACGCUCAGGUGCGAAAGCGUGGGGAGCAAACAGGAUUAGAUACCCUUGUAGUC
This 462-nucleotide ribosomal RNA is filed under the name uncultured Klebsiella sp. RNAcentral describes it as "bacterial SSU rRNA". It matches the Rfam family "Bacterial small subunit ribosomal RNA", at positions 339 to 795 of the family's 1533-position model. The record is from RNAcentral. Lineage: Bacteria; Pseudomonadati; Pseudomonadota; Gammaproteobacteria; Enterobacterales; Enterobacteriaceae.